AGGUAGCCCUGAUAGCAAUGAAAAUACUUUGAAAAGAAAUUGCCAUUUUUACUGACACGAUAAAGCGACCAAAGGAAGCUCUUAUUGUGGCUUGUAAAAAGCAAUUUAUUGAGAAAGUAUUGCAAUGAAUAGCAGGAAUAUGC
This 143-nucleotide small RNA is filed under the name Flavobacterium hercynium. RNAcentral's name for it is "Flavo-1 RNA". It matches the Rfam family "Flavo-1 RNA". Lineage: Bacteria; Pseudomonadati; Bacteroidota; Flavobacteriia; Flavobacteriales; Flavobacteriaceae. The record is from RNAcentral.